RNAcentral lists this ribosomal RNA (420 nucleotides) under uncultured eukaryote. RNAcentral's name for it is "bacterial SSU rRNA". It matches the Rfam family "Eukaryotic small subunit ribosomal RNA", at positions 592 to 1018 of the family's 1831-position model. The record is from RNAcentral.
CAAUAGCGUAUAUUAAAGUUGUUGCAGUUAAAAGGCUCGUAGUUGGAUUUCUGGUGGGAGCACGGGUCGGCCUUCACGGGUUGUACUGUUGUUGCGUCCUGCCGUUUCGGAGGGAAUGGUCAUGUUAUUAGGUUAGCGUGAUCGGAAACUCUGUCGUUUACUGUGAAAAAUUAGAGUGUUCAAAGCAGGCCUUCGCUGUGAAUACAUUAGCAUGGAAUAAUAAGAUAGGACUGUAGUGCUAUUUUGUUGGUUUGCGUACUAUGGUAAUGAUUAAUAGGGACAGUUGGGGGCAUUUUUAUUCCAUUGUCAGAGGUGAAAUUCUUGGAUUAACGGAAGAAAAACUACUGCGAAAGCAUUUGCCAAGGAUGUUUUCAUUGAUCAAGAACGAAAGUUAGGGGAUCGAAGACGAUUAGAUACCAU